AACGAACGCUGGCGGCAUGCCUAACACAUGCAAGUCGAACGAGACCUUCGGGUCUAGUGGCGCACGGGUGCGUAACGCGUGGGAAUCUACCCUUCGGUUCGGAAUAACAGUGGGAAACUACUGCUAAUACCGGAUAAUGACGUAAGUCCAAAGAUUUAUCGCCGAAGGAUGAGCCCGCGUAGGAUUAGCUAGUUGGUGGGGUAAAGGCCUACCAAGGCGACGAUCCUUAGCUGGUCUGAGAGGAUGAUCAGCCACACUGGGACUGAGACACGGCCCAGACUCCUACGGGAGGCAGCAGUGGGGAAUAUUGGACAAUGGGCGAAAGCCUGAUCCAGCAAUGCCGCGUGAGUGAUGAAGGCCUUAGGGUUGUAAAGCUCUUUUACCCGGGAUGAUAAUGACAGUACCGGGAGAAUAAGCUCCGGCUAACUCCGUGCCAGCAGCCGCUGUAAG
RNAcentral lists this ribosomal RNA (450 nucleotides) under uncultured bacterium. RNAcentral describes it as "bacterial SSU rRNA". It matches the Rfam family "Bacterial small subunit ribosomal RNA", at positions 29 to 524 of the family's 1533-position model. The record is from RNAcentral.